UAAUAAUUAUAAUGAUAAUAAAAUUGAUAUUACAUUAAACAAAAUAGAGAUGAUAUCUACUUCUAGUACUGCAACUUAUAUUGAACUUGUUCCUGCCAGUAAUAACACAAGUCAUACUAAUAAUAGUAUUAAGGGAAGGAGUAAUGAUACCAGUAAAAAUAAUAGUAAUAGUAAUACAGAUUGUAAUAGUAAUACGGAUAAUAAUAGUAAUACGGAUAAUAAUAGUAAUANNNNNNNNNNAUAAUAGUAAUACAGAUAAUAGUAAUACAGAUAAUAAUAGUAAUACAUAUAAUAAUGACUUGUUAAUGUCUUACAACAACCAUUUUAAUAAUAAUUAUAACAGUAAUGAUUAUAAUAUUAUUUGUAAUAAUGGUAACCGAAGUGGUAGCACUAUUAAUUUGAAUAAGAAGAAAACAUAUAAAUAUACAAAUACAAACACAAAUACAGAUACAAGUAUAAAUACAGAUACAAAUUUAAAUACAAAUUUAAAUACAAAUACAAGUACAAAUACAAAUAUAAAUACAAAUAUAAAUACAAAUACAGAUACAAAUACAGAUACAAAUACAGAUACAAAUACAAACACAAAUACAAACACAAAUACAAACAACAAUGAUAAUUUAAACACAUUUAAUAAUUAUAAUAUAAAUAAUUAUAAUGAUUCAUAUAAUAAUUUAUAUCAUAAUAAAUAUGCUAAGAACAAUAGUGCUAGUUCAAAUAUAAAUACCCAUAAUAAAUAUAAAAACGAUAAUAAUCAGAACAGUAACAAUAACGAAUAUAAUAAUAGUAAUAAUAAUAAUAAUAAUAGUAAUAAUAAUAAUAGUAAUAAUAAUAGUAAUAGUAAUAAUAGUACUAGUAAUAGUUCUAGUAAUAAUAGUACUAGUAAUAGUACUAGUAAUAAUAACAUAAAUGUCGUUGAUAAUAUCAUAAGGAUUAGUGACAACAUGAACACUUGUAACAAUGCAAAUUAUAAAACAGAUAACUUCAAAAAUUCUUCGUAUAGUAAAAAAUAAAAUGUGUAGAUUCUUUUAAAUAUGAAAAUAAUAAAGUAAAUUAUAAUAAAAACCA
Molecule: long non-coding RNA, 1065 nt
Filed under: Piliocolobus tephrosceles (Ugandan red Colobus)
Lineage: Eukaryota; Metazoa; Chordata; Mammalia; Primates; Cercopithecidae
Description: lncRNA (ENSPTEG00000025362.1)
Source: RNAcentral